CAUUCAUGGUCGCAUGCUGCUGGUGUUUUGUGUCCACGCACACACACACAGUCAUGACAGAAGAAGUUUAAUUCUUCGGGGCUCACCACAAACGGCGAUUUAGCGUGUAAUCCACAUGUUCCUUUUGAGUCGUUCCCACGUGGGGACGACGUGCCACGCUACGCUCCCACCCCGUGUCAGGUGGUGACGUGCAGGAAGUGAGUGAUUCCCGUCAGCCUGUUCUACUUGGCUGGACUUCCAGGCUGGAUCACAAGUGACGCCGCCACAACGUGAUCAUGUGACCACCGGCACCCCAGUGAGCACAAUUGGCGCGACGGUCCAGACGAGAUUGCCGCCGCAACUAUACCAGGAGCAAAAUGGCCGCAUUGGCAUUGGUUUAGGAUGCCCUCCACCAGUGAUGUGACUGCCCACCAUCACCAAAAGUAAAGCACCAAUUGAAGGUAGGAUAAGCUCCUCUUCGGCGUAAUGAUGACACGACACGGUCUAUCACAUACAAGUGUUGUAACAUUUAUUGUGAAGUGAAAAGAAACAAAUCCCCGUCGGUGAGAAUGCAUAGAUGUGGCUUUUAUUCGGGAGAGAGGUGCGCGGGUGUCCGUUCAGGCCUGGUGCUGUGCGAUGAGAUUGCGUAACUGCUUGAUGACGGUGUCGAUGAGCUUCUGUCUGUCGCGUUCCGUCUUUCGGAAUUGUGCGAAGACCACGUUCUUCCUGCUGCUCUCC
Long non-coding RNA from Syngnathus typhle (broad-nosed pipefish), 717 nucleotides. RefSeq lists it as uncharacterized. The record is from RefSeq and is a predicted model, not a curated record. Lineage: Eukaryota; Metazoa; Chordata; Actinopteri; Syngnathiformes; Syngnathidae. The transcript has 5 exons.